Molecule: ribosomal RNA, 621 nt
Filed under: Escherichia coli
Lineage: Bacteria; Pseudomonadati; Pseudomonadota; Gammaproteobacteria; Enterobacterales; Enterobacteriaceae
Description: bacterial SSU rRNA
Rfam family: Bacterial small subunit ribosomal RNA
Source: RNAcentral
UGCAAGUCGAACGGUAACAGGCAAGCAGCUUGCUGCUUCGCUGACGAGUGGCGGACGGGUGAGUAAUGUCUGGGAAACUGCCUGAUGGAGGGGGAUAACUACUGGAAACGGUAGCUAAUACCGCAUAACGUCGCAAGACCAAAGAGGGGGACCUUCGGGCCUCUUGCCAUCGGAUGUGCCCAGAUGGGAUUAGCUUGUUGGUGGGGUAACGGCUCACCAAGGCGACGAUCCCUAGCUGGUCUGAGAGGAUGACCAGCCACACUGGAACUGAGACACGGUCCAGACUCCUACGGGAGGCAGCAGUGGGGAAUAUUGCACAAUGGGCGCAAGCCUGAUGCAGCCAUGCCGCGUGUAUGAAGAAGGCCUUCGGGUUGUAAAGUACUUUCAGCGGGGAGGAAGGGAGUAAAGUUAAUACCUUUGCUCAUUGACGUUACCCGCAGAAGAAGCACCGGCUAACUCCGUGCCAGCAGCCGCGGUAAUACGGAGGGUGCAAGCGUUAAUCGGAAUUACUGGGCGUAAAGCGCACGCAGGCGGUUUGUUAAGUCAGAUGUGAAAUCCCCGGGCUCAACCUGGGAACUGCAUCUGAUACUGGCAAGCUUUGAGUCUCGUAGAGGGGGGGUA